UACAGAGGUCCCGAGCGUUGUUCGGAUUCACUGGGCGUAAAGGGCGCGUAGGUGGCUUGGCAAGUUUGGCGUGAAAUCUCCGGGCUUAACCCGGAAAUGGCGUUGAAUACUGUUUGAGCUGGAGGUUUGGAGGGGGGACUGGAAUUCUUGGUGUAGCAGUGAAAUGCGUAGAUAUCAAGAGGAACACCAGUGGCGAAGGCGAGUCCCUGGACAACACCUGACACUGAGGCGCGAAAGCAUGGGGAGCAAACAGG
This 254-nucleotide ribosomal RNA is filed under the name uncultured bacterium. Its description in RNAcentral is "partial 16S ribosomal RNA". It matches the Rfam family "Bacterial small subunit ribosomal RNA", at positions 524 to 776 of the family's 1533-position model. The record is from RNAcentral.